RNAcentral lists this non-coding RNA (64 nucleotides) under Methanobacterium sp. RNAcentral's name for it is "Fluoride sequence". It matches the Rfam family "Fluoride riboswitch aptamer (crcB RNA motif)". Lineage: Archaea; Methanobacteriati; Methanobacteriota; Methanobacteria; Methanobacteriales; Methanobacteriaceae. The record is from RNAcentral.
AUAUGGAAUGGUGAUGGGGUUCACCUUUAACCGCUUAUUUUAAGCUGAUGACUCCUGCACAAUA